UCGAGGGUUCAGCAAGUCACAGAAUGCGGAAGUUCCACUCAUACCGGCACGGUUGCGGCGAAGCUCAACUGAACUGAGAAAAGAACGAAUCAGUUCAUGAAGGGAUUCGGUUCAGUACGUUCACUCAAAAGAUUCGUUCGUUUGAACGAAUCGUUCGUGAACGACACAACACUAGAAGGCGGCCGACAAGAGCAAUUCGAAGGAGAAAGACGUGAGCCAUACGCUAAUAAGUCAGUCUUACUAUUUGUUAUCCAGUUUGAAAUAUUUUCGUCGUAUAAAAUACAUAUUUGAUUCUUGAUUUAAGGAUAAAGUGGUCUCGAUGCGCUAGAAGCACUGUGCCGCUUCUCCUGCUAUCUUUGCUUGUUAGUUAGCUUAGCUCGCUAGUUAGCUUAGCUUGUUAGCUGCUAACAGAAGACACAGAAGUUAUCAACACAUCGCUAAGUAGAGAUCAAGUGUGAGAGUAAAGUGUUGUGAUUGUGUGAAAAUGUCUACAUUACAAAUGUUGAGAGCGUUGGUGGAUCAGCGACUAACUGCUGCUGUUGAAGAAAUAUUUGUAGUGUUAGAAAGAACGAUAGCAGAAUACCAGGCGGAACUUUCUAGAACAAAAGAGGAAAACUAUCAACUACUGGACGCUGUUUUCAAGAAACAUCAAGUUGUGUCACACAGAACAGAUACUCAAAGCGCUCACAGAGAAGUGGGAACCCAUCAUUCAUUCACACAAGGGGGUGGUAAGCUACAUCUGUAGCCACAGCUGCCCUGGGGUAGACUGACGGAAGCGUGGCUGCCAGUUUGCGCCUACGGCCCCUCUGACCACCACCUCCAAUCAUUCAUUCAUCAUUCAUUCAUCGGUGUGAGUGGCACCGGGGGCAAGGGUGAAGUGUCUUGCCCAAGGACACGACGGCAGCGAUUUGGAUGUCAAUAGGUGGGAAGCGAAUCUGCAACCCUCAGGUUUCUGGCACGGCCGCUCUACCCACUACACCAUGCCGCCCCGUAAUAAGCAGGGGGAGCUCAUCACUAGUACUACUGCGUGGAGGCUGGCAUGUGGUACAUUAUUUCCUGUGUGUGUAUGACUUAUUCAGAGGGACAACAGCACACUAGUAUGGAUUGCAGGAAUUAAUUUGAGGAUGUUUUUAUAUGAAUAAGGUGGAUUGGAUGUUAGCCUGGGAAGGCAUUCCCCUGGAGGUCUUCUUCAUGUGUCAGCUGGAAGUACUCUGACUGCUGUGAGGGGAAACUGAUGAGAUUACCUAAAAGAAGCGCAUCUUCCCAAUGAGCAGGAGGAGGAACCACAGUCCCCUAACAUACUUGAGGAAGAAGAGGUACCACACUCCCAACACAUUAAAGAAGGAGGAGAGGAACCACAGCCCCCCCACAUUAAAGAGGAAGACGAGACGCCACAGACCCAUAAUGUUAAACUGACCCUUCACAUUAAGAAGGGAGAGGAGGACCCACUGACCCUCUACUUUAAAGUGGAAGAGGAGGACCAAGAGGCGCCGCACAUUAGAGAGGAAGAGGAGGAAGAGGGCAUCAGUCAGCCUAAAUGGUUGGAGGAGUUCCCAGUGACUGGUGUCCCUGUGAAGAGUGAAGAUGAUGAGGUGAAAGGUGAAAGUGAGGAGAGGGGAGGGGGGGAGCCUCCAAGCAGCAGCUCAACACAACACAUGACAACAGAAGCUGAUGGAGACCACUGUGGAGGAUCACAAGCAGACAAGCUCUUAGCUCCACUAUCAGAUAGUGAGGACACAACGUCACACUCUCCUGACACUGAUGAUGAAGACUCUAAAGAUGAUAAGACAUGUCACACUGACAACACUCGCUUCACAUCUUCUCACUGUCACAAAACUUUUAAAUACCAUUGUCGUCUGAAAGUACACAUGAGAACACACACUGGAGAAAAAACUUUUAUCUGUUCACUCUGUGGUAAAGGUUUUGCACAAAGUUCAAGUUUGGUAAAACACAUGAGAACACACACUGGAGAAAAACCUUUCUCUUGUUCAAUCUGUGGUAAAGGUUUUACACAAAGUCAACAUUUGAAAUCACACAUGAGAACACACACUGGUGAAAAACCUUUUUCCUGUUCAACCUGUGGUAAAGGUUUUACAGAAAGUCAGAGUUUGAAAAGACACAUGAGAACACACACUGGUGAAAAACCUUUUUCCUGUUCAAUCUGUGGUAAAUGUUUUACACAAAGUCUAUAUUUGAAAGUACACAAGAGAACACACACUGGUGAAAAAUCACAUUCCUGUUGAAUAUGCAACAGAAGCUUUUGUGACCGAUCAGACCUUGUAAGACACACGAGAAGACACCCAGGAGAGAAAGUGUUGAGUUGCAGUGUGUGUGGUGAAAGAUUGUCUUCUAAGUACCAGUGUAAGAAACACAAGUGUGCUGGUGAGAACAGCAGCAGCAAAUGAAACUGCAGGAUUUGAAAUAAACUGUCCAGACUUUCAUUUUGACUUUCUAACAACAUCAGCACAUAUAACA
RNA transcript from Nerophis ophidion (straightnose pipefish), 2475 nucleotides. It is a transcript of the gene named zinc finger protein 37-like, with no coding region annotated. The record is from RefSeq and is a predicted model, not a curated record. The transcript is spliced from 4 exons. Lineage: Eukaryota; Metazoa; Chordata; Actinopteri; Syngnathiformes; Syngnathidae.